RNAcentral lists this long non-coding RNA (269 nucleotides) under Lathyrus oleraceus (garden pea). RNAcentral describes it as "Pisum sativum (pea) long non-coding RNA (PSAT_LNC021545)". Lineage: Eukaryota; Viridiplantae; Streptophyta; Magnoliopsida; Fabales; Fabaceae. The record is from RNAcentral.
AGAAUUUCAUACCUCUUCCGCAAAAAUACCGAUGCUGGAAAAUACUCAUUCAGGAAGGCUUUUUUCCAUUUCUUCCCUAGAUGUGAUGCUACCGGCAGGUAAAGAAUAAAACCAUUCUUCAGCUUCUUCCGCUAAGGUAAACGGGAACAUUCUCAACUUCUUGGCUUCUUCAGUGUGACCAUCAAUUUUCAGAGUGUUGCUCAUGGGCAAAAACCUCUACAAAUGCUUGUUUGCAUCUUCAUUCACUUUUCCAGUUAAAUUCUUCCUUU